RNAcentral lists this microRNA (25 nucleotides) under Schistosoma mansoni. RNAcentral describes it as "sma-miR-124a-5p". Its record names the gene sma-miR-124a-5p. The record is from miRBase by way of RNAcentral. Lineage: Eukaryota; Metazoa; Platyhelminthes; Trematoda; Strigeidida; Schistosomatidae.
CCAUUUUCCGCGAUUGCCUUGAUGA